Molecule: non-coding RNA, 148 nt
Organism: Gorilla gorilla gorilla (western lowland gorilla)
Lineage: Eukaryota; Metazoa; Chordata; Mammalia; Primates; Hominidae
Rfam family: Metazoan signal recognition particle RNA
About the family: The signal recognition particle (SRP) is a universally conserved ribonucleoprotein. It is involved in the co-translational targeting of proteins to membranes. The eukaryotic SRP consists of a 300-nucleotide 7S RNA and six proteins: SRPs 72, 68, 54, 19, 14, and 9.
Source: Rfam
GCCGGGUGUGGUGGCGUGCACCUGUAGUCCCAGCUACUCGGGAGGCUGAGGCAGGAGAAUCGCUUGAACCCAGGAGGCAGAAAUUGCAGUGAGUCAAAAUCGCACCACUGUGCUCCAGCCUGGGUGCCAGAGCGAGACUCUGUCUCAA